RNAcentral lists this ribosomal RNA (228 nucleotides) under uncultured bacterium. RNAcentral describes it as "partial 16S ribosomal RNA". It matches the Rfam family "Bacterial small subunit ribosomal RNA", at positions 58 to 305 of the family's 1533-position model. The record is from RNAcentral.
ACAAGUUGAACGUGAAGCCACUUCGGUGGUGGAAAGUAGCGCACGGGUGAGUAACGCGUGGGAAUUUACACUUCAGUACGGAACAACAGUUGGAAACGACUGCUAAUACCGUAUAAUGACUCCGGUCCAAAGAUUUAUCGCUGAAGGAUAAGCCCGCGUCUGAUUAGCUAGUUGGUGAGGUAAGAGCUCACCAAGGCGACGAUCUCUAGCUGGUUUGAGAGGAUGAUC